CCUACGGGAGGCAGCAGUGGGGAAUUUUGGACAAUGGGCGCAAGCCUGAUCCAGCUAUUCCGCGUGUGGGAUGAAGGCCCUCGGGUUGCAAACCACUUUUGUAGAGAACGAAAAGACACCUUUUAAUAAAGGGUGUUGCUGACGGUACUCUAAGAAUAAGCACCGGCUAACUACGUGCCAGCAGCCGCGGUAAUACGUAGGGUGCGAGCGUUAAUCGGAAUUAUUGGGCUUAAAGGGUGCGCAGGCGGAAUGGUAAAGCAGCGGGAAAA
This 269-nucleotide ribosomal RNA is filed under the name uncultured bacterium. RNAcentral's name for it is "partial 16S ribosomal RNA". It matches the Rfam family "Bacterial small subunit ribosomal RNA", at positions 338 to 599 of the family's 1533-position model. The record is from RNAcentral.